GGGAAUUUGGCUCAGUGGUAGAGCGCCUGCCUUGCAUGCAUGAGGCCCUGGGUUGGAUUCCUCA
Molecule: transfer RNA, 64 nt
Filed under: Dipodomys ordii (Ord's kangaroo rat)
Lineage: Eukaryota; Metazoa; Chordata; Mammalia; Rodentia; Heteromyidae
Rfam family: tRNA
About the family: Transfer RNA (tRNA) molecules are approximately 80 nucleotides in length. Their secondary structure includes four short double-helical elements and three loops (D, anti-codon, and T loops).
Source: Rfam by way of RNAcentral